GAUGAACGCUGGCGGCGUGCCUAAUACAUGCAAGUCGAGCGAACGGACGAGAAGCUUGCUUCUCUGAUGUUAGCGGCGGACGGGUGAGUAACACGUGGAUAACCUACCUAUAAGACGGGGAUAACUUCGGGAAACCGUGGCUAAUACCGGAUAAUAUUUUGAACCGCAUGGUUCAAAAGUGAAAGACGGUCUUGCUGUCACUUAUAGAUGGAUCCGCGCUGCAUUAGCUAGUUGGUAAGGUAACGGCUUACCAAGGCAACGAUGCAUAGCCGACCUGAGAGGGUGGUAGGCCACACUGGAACUGGGACGCGGUCCAGACUCCUACGGGAGGCAGCAGUAGGGAAUCUUCCGCAGUGGGCGGAAGCCUGGCGGAGCAGCGCCGCGUGAGUGAUGAAGGUCUUCGGAUCGUAAAACUCUGUUAUUAGUGAAGAACAUAUGUGUAAGUAACUGUGCACAUCUUGACGGUACCUAAUCAGAAAGCCACGGCUAACUACGUG
This 497-nucleotide ribosomal RNA is filed under the name uncultured bacterium. RNAcentral describes it as "partial 16S ribosomal RNA". It matches the Rfam family "Bacterial small subunit ribosomal RNA", at positions 28 to 507 of the family's 1533-position model. The record is from RNAcentral.